CUUGAGCUUGAAUCCUGGCUCAGGACGAACGCUGGCGGCGUGCCUAAUACAUGCAAGUCGAGCGCAGGAAACUAAGCAGAUCCCUUCGGGGUGAAGUUUUGUGGAAUGAGCGGCGGACGGGUGAGUAACACGUGGGCAACCUACCUAUAAGACUGGGAUAACUCAUGGAAACAGGAGCUAAUACCGGAUAACCGGUGCGUUCGCAUGAACGCACUUUAAAAGGCGGCAUUUGCUGUCACUUAUAGAUGGGCCCGCGGCGCAUUAGCUAGUUGGUGAGGUAAUGGCUCACCAAGGCAACGAUGCGUAGCCGACCUGAGAGGGUGAUCGGCCACACUGGGACUGAGACACGGCCCAGACUCCUACGGGAGGCAGCAGUAGGGAAUCUUCCGCAAUGGACGAAAGUCUGACGGAGCAACGCCGCGUGAACGAUGAAGGUUUUCGGAUCGUAAAGUUCUGUUGUUAGGGAAGAACACGUACCGUUCGAAUAGGGCGGUAUCUUGACGGUACCUAACGAGAAGC
RNAcentral lists this ribosomal RNA (519 nucleotides) under Bacillaceae bacterium M1-C3. RNAcentral describes it as "bacterial SSU rRNA". It matches the Rfam family "Bacterial small subunit ribosomal RNA", at positions 1 to 491 of the family's 1533-position model. Lineage: Bacteria; Bacillati; Bacillota; Bacilli; Caryophanales; Bacillaceae. The record is from RNAcentral.